This 465-nucleotide ribosomal RNA is filed under the name Vreelandella stevensii. RNAcentral's name for it is "partial 16S ribosomal RNA". It matches the Rfam family "Bacterial small subunit ribosomal RNA", at positions 338 to 795 of the family's 1533-position model. Lineage: Bacteria; Pseudomonadati; Pseudomonadota; Gammaproteobacteria; Oceanospirillales; Halomonadaceae. The record is from RNAcentral.
CCUACGGGGGGCUGCAGUGGGGAAUAUUGGACAAUGGGCGAAAGCCUGAUCCAGCCAUGCCGCGUGUGUGAAGAAGGCCUUCGGGUUGUAAAGCACUUUCAGUGGGGAAGAAAGCCUUGGGGCUAAUACCCUCGAGGAAGGACAUCACCCACAGAAGAAGCACCGGCUAACUCCGUGCCAGCAGCCGCGGUAAUACGGAGGGUGCGAGCGCUAAUCGGAAUUACUGGGCGUAAAGCGCGCGUAGGCGGUCUGAUAAGCCGGUUGUGAAAGCCCCGGGCUCAACCUGGGAACGGCAUCCGGAACUGUCAGGCUAGAGUGCAGGAGAGGAAGGUAGAAUUCCCGGUGUAGCGGUGAAAUGCGUAGAGAUCGGGAGGAAUACCAGUGGCGAAGGCGGCCUUCUGGACUGACACUGACGCUGAGGUGCGAAAGCGUGGGUAGCAAACAGGAUUAGAUACCCGUGUAGUC